Non-coding RNA from Rhodospirillaceae bacterium BRH_c57, 117 nucleotides. Lineage: Bacteria; Pseudomonadati; Pseudomonadota; Alphaproteobacteria; Rhodospirillales; Rhodospirillaceae. The record is from Rfam.
CGCGUAUUUUGCGCAGGCGGAGCUCGACCGCCGGUUCAAGCCAUGAUCGCCUUCAUCGACGAGCAGCGCCAGGCGCACGGGGUCGAGCCGAUCUGCAGGGAGCUGCCGAUCGCCCCG